GACGAACGCUGGCGGCGUGCCUAAUACAUGCAAGUCGAACGCUGAAGAGAGGAGCUUGCUCUUCUUGGAUGAGUUGCGAACGGGUGAGUAACGCGUAGGUAACCUGCCUUGUAGCGGGGGAUAACUAUUGGAAACGAUAGCUAAUACCGCAUAACAAUGGAUGACACAUGUCAUUUAUUUGAAAGGGGCAAUUGCUCCACUACAAGAUGGACCUGCGUUGUAUUAGCUAGUAGGUGAGGUAAUGGCUCACCUAGGCGACGAUACAUAGCCGACCUGAGAGGGUGAUCGGCCACACUGGGACUGAGACACGGCCCAGACUCCUACGGGAGGCAGCAGUAGGGAAUCUUCGGCAAUGGGGGCAACCCUGACCGAGCAACGCCGCGUGAGUGAAGAAGGGUUUCGGAUCGUAAAGCUCUGUUGUAAGUCAAGAACGGGUGUGAGAGUGGAAAGUUCACACUGUGACGGUAGCUUACCAGAAAGGGACGGCUAACUACGUG
Molecule: ribosomal RNA, 497 nt
Filed under: uncultured bacterium
Lineage: Bacteria
Description: partial 16S ribosomal RNA
Rfam family: Bacterial small subunit ribosomal RNA
Source: RNAcentral